UACCAAGUUUCUUCCUGCUUCUCAAAGCUUUGAUGGUGUAGCAGGACUCCGUAUGAGUCUUUGGCUUUGCAUCUUCUAACAAGGAAACACUACUUAGGCUUUUACAAUUCGACCUGACUUUGAUCCUAGGAUUAGAGGAUCCUUAGGUUCUGCUUCCAUAUCAAGCACAACGAAAUACGUAGGCACUUCCACUCCAUUAAUCAUUACUGGUAGAUCUUUUAGCAGGCCGAAGGGUUUUCUUGAAAACCUAUCAGCAAAGAUCAAAGUAAGGUCGCAAGGCCUGUACUGAGUGAAUUCCAGCUUCCUUGCCACA
RNAcentral lists this small RNA (313 nucleotides) under Arabidopsis thaliana (thale cress). RNAcentral's name for it is "ATSL034310". Lineage: Eukaryota; Viridiplantae; Streptophyta; Magnoliopsida; Brassicales; Brassicaceae. The record is from RNAcentral.